Molecule: ribosomal RNA, 634 nt
Filed under: Bradyrhizobium sp. M-3-188
Lineage: Bacteria; Pseudomonadati; Pseudomonadota; Alphaproteobacteria; Hyphomicrobiales; Nitrobacteraceae
Description: bacterial SSU rRNA
Rfam family: Bacterial small subunit ribosomal RNA
Source: RNAcentral
CAGUGGCAGACGGGUGAGUAACGCGUGGGAACAUACCUCUUGGUUCGGAACAACACAGGGAAACUUGUGCUAAUACCGGAUAAGCCCUUACGGGGAAAGAUUUAUCGCCGAGAGAUUGGCCCGCGUCUGAUUAGCUAGUUGGUGGGGUAAAGGCCUACCAAGGCGACGAUCAGUAGCUGGUCUGAGAGGAUGAUCAGCCACAUUGGGACUGAGACACGGCCCAAACUCCUACGGGAGGCAGCAGUGGGGAAUAUUGGACAAUGGGCGCAAGCCUGAUCCAGCCAUGCCGCGUGAGUGAUGAAGGCCCUAGGGUUGUAAAGCUCUUUUGUACGGGAAGAUAAUGACGGUACCGUAAGAAUAAGCCCCGGCUAACUUCGUGCCAGCAGCCGCGGUAAUACGAAGGGGGCUAGCGUUGCUCGGAAUCACUGGGCGUAAAGGGUGCGUAGGCGGGUUUUUAAGUCAGAGGUGAAAUCCUGGAGCUCAACUCCAGAACUGCCUUUGAUACUGAAAGUCUUGAGUAUGGGAGAGGUGAGUGGAACUGCGAGUGUAGAGGUGAAAUUCGUAGAUAUUCGCAAGAACACCAGUGGCGAAGGCGGCUCACUGGCCCAUAACUGACGCUGAGGCACGAAAGCGU